This is a long non-coding RNA of Oryzias melastigma (Indian medaka), 1321 nucleotides long. RefSeq lists it as uncharacterized. The record is from RefSeq and is a predicted model, not a curated record. The transcript has 6 exons. Lineage: Eukaryota; Metazoa; Chordata; Actinopteri; Beloniformes; Adrianichthyidae.
CACAAGAAACAAAAUGUAGUAUCUUGUGAUAACGACAUCUAUUAUCACGUUAUCAUAAGUGAUAAUGAGACUAUGGAUGUUGUUAUUAUAAAAACAGACAAAAAGUGAGGUGUAUGCAGCUCUCAGCUUCUUUAGAACUGUAUGAGUUACCAGAUAAGUUUUUGGAAGUGUCAUCAACUAACCAACAGGUGGCAAUAUUGAACUUCAUCUUCUCUUCUUUGGGCACCAGUUUGGCCUCCUAACAAAUAAGGUUUUUAAAGUGUUCAUUUUUGUAGAGUUUUCUAGUUCAGUUUCUCCUUUUAUUCUGAAAAGUUGUUCGCUUUUCUGUUAGCUUCCUGUUUGGCCUCCAUCUGUGGGCUCAUUCUGACCUUUGGUCCUCUCAGUGCUUUCAUCAGAGAUGUAUCAGUGAUUGACCACGACUGUGGACAGAAAAAAGUCACCUGAGGCAUCCUUGGUUGAUCUCUUUCCUCACCUGCUUUGAUGACACGGCCCCGACCUUCGCUGACACAGGCGGCCGUGAAAGCCUUGUGGACACAGACAGAACCGCCCCCCCCAUCCUGGCUCACACGUGCACUGCCACGGCUGCUGGCAGGAGCCGUGCACACAGCCAGGCAUGAGCACGCAGCGGUCGCAGUGUUCACCGCCCCAGCCGGGGUCACACCUGGACAGGACGGCAGGAAAAUGAAGAAAGAAGCAGAGAGGGACGAUAAAGGUGCAGUCACUUCCUGCAGGAGACAGGAAACAGUGAUGGAUGAGUGGAUGAAACAUCGUCAGAAGAUUAGGCUGGAGAAGCACGUCAGACCAAAACAUGAACCGCAGUUCAGUUAUCGCAGAGGAACGGACAUGAACUUUGUUGAGCCAGAGAAGCGACCAAAUGGGAGAAUCGGUUUCUGUGGUGCCAUGAGAGUAAGCACAGCAGCAGGCGCCUCCACACACGACUGCAUGUGACUCAGCGUCUGCCAGAGGUCAGAGGUCAGCUUCAAGCACCCCAGAGUGAGCAGGAGGACUCACCAUGACGGAGGACAACCAGCUGCUUCAAGUCCCGCUCUGAUCACCAUUGGAUCUAUUUUCUGGUUAUGAUGAUGCUGUUUUAACCAAAAUCAAAAAUCUUCUCGUUUUCUAGGACAGAUUCUGCAAGUGUUCAUUAGAAAUUCACCUCUGAGUUGUGGGCGGGACUGUUGCGGAAAGUGACCAGGUGAGGUGUCGUGGGCCUACCUUGACCUGCAGAAGGCGGGAUGUGGAGGACGAAGCAGCAGCCCAGGAGCAGCAGGACGCCUCCGGCUCGGACCGGCGCCAUGCGGGCUGCAGUGAGGAUGGCGGC